RNAcentral lists this ribosomal RNA (253 nucleotides) under uncultured bacterium. RNAcentral describes it as "partial 16S ribosomal RNA". It matches the Rfam family "Bacterial small subunit ribosomal RNA", at positions 524 to 776 of the family's 1533-position model. The record is from RNAcentral.
UACGGUGGGGGCAAGCGUUGUUCGGAAUUACUGGGCGUAAAGGGCUCGUAGGCGGCUAACUAAGUCAGACGUGAAAUCCCCAGGCUCAACCUGGGAACUGCGUCUGAUACUGGAUGGCUUGAAUUCGGGAGAGGGAUGCAGAAUUCCAGGUGUAGCGGUGAAAUGCGUAGAUAUCUGGAGGAAUACCGGUGGCGAAGGCGGCAUCCUGGACCGACAUUGACGCUGAUGAGCGAAAGCUAGGGGAGCAAACGGG